This 325-nucleotide long non-coding RNA is filed under the name Gossypium raimondii (Peruvian cotton). RNAcentral's name for it is "long non-coding RNA (GRAI_LNC005473)". Lineage: Eukaryota; Viridiplantae; Streptophyta; Magnoliopsida; Malvales; Malvaceae. The record is from RNAcentral.
CUAACACAAAAAGAAAGAAAAACAAUAGAGGAGAAUUCAACAGGGAGAAUGGAAGGGAAAUCGUGCAGAUUUUUUUUGGGAAAAAAUAAAAAGAAAAUACUGACAGAAUAUCCGAUAACCACCAUUAAUCCCUUAUUUUUCUCCUAAAAACAGUCCACCCCAAUCCCACUAUCUCUCAAACUCCCCAGUCCACCACAUUCCUUCAACAACCGAAUUUAAACUUCACUCAAACACUUCAGUAUUUUACUUCCCUUCAAACUCCCAUAUGGCACAGAUAACAAAAAAAAACUCCCUUACAUGCACAAAUAUUCAAACUCAAGACCAC